Molecule: ribosomal RNA, 455 nt
Filed under: uncultured organism
Description: partial 16S ribosomal RNA
Rfam family: Bacterial small subunit ribosomal RNA
Source: RNAcentral
ACUCCUGCGGGAGGCAGCAGUGGGGAAUAUUGCACAAUGGGCGGAAGCCUGAUGCAGCAACGCCGCGUGCGGGAUGACGGCCUUCGGGUUGUAAACCGCUUUCGCCUGUGACGAAGCGUGAGUGACGGUAAUGGGUAAAGAAGCACCGGCUAACUACGUGCCAGCAGCCGCGGUGAUACGUAGGGUGCGAGCGUUGUCCGGAUUUAUUGGGCGUAAAGGGCUCGUAGGUGGUUGAUCGCGUCGGAAGUGUAAUCUUGGGGCUUAACCCUGAGCGUGCUUUCGAUACGGGUUGACUUGAGGAAGGUAGGGGAGAAUGGAAUUCCUGGUGGAGCGGUGGAAUGCGCAGAUAUCAGGAGGAACACCAGUGGCGAAGGCGGUUCUCUGGGCCUUUCCUGACGCUGAGGAGCGAAAGCGUGGGGAGCGAACAGGCUUAGAUACCCGUGUAGUCCCAUGAU